GAUGAACGCUGGCGGCGUGCCUAAUACAUGCAAGUCGAACGGAGAUUGUAGCAAUACGGUCUUAGUGGCGAACGGGUGAGUAACGCGUUGGUAACCUGCCCCGAAGCGUGGGAUAACGGUCCGAAAGGACCACUAAUACCACAUGUGAUCCCGAGGAAUAGAUACUUGGGAUGAAAGGAGCAAUUCGCUUCGGGAGGGACCUGCGUCCCAUCAGCUAGUUGGUAGGGUAACGGCCUACCAAGGCGAUGACGGGUAGGGGACCUGAGAGGGUGGCCCCCACAAUGGAACUGAAACACGGUCCAUACACCUACGGGUGGCAGCAGUAGGGAAUAUUGGUUAAAUGUGCGAAAGCGCGAACCAGCAACGCCGCGUGUGCGAUGAAGGCCUUCGGGUCGUAAAGCACUUUUUGCAGGGAAGAGGAAGGACGGUACCUGCAGAAUAAGUCUCGGCUAACUACGUG
This 460-nucleotide ribosomal RNA is filed under the name uncultured bacterium. Its description in RNAcentral is "bacterial SSU rRNA". It matches the Rfam family "Bacterial small subunit ribosomal RNA", at positions 28 to 507 of the family's 1533-position model. The record is from RNAcentral.